This is a non-coding RNA of Xyrichtys novacula (pearly razorfish), 3648 nucleotides long. The record is from the annotation of a GenBank genome assembly. Lineage: Eukaryota; Metazoa; Chordata; Actinopteri; Labriformes; Labridae.
CGUUUUUGAUCCGCCUGCCAGUCCCGUGUGCAGCGGAUGCAAUGGAAUCCCCGGGUUAGACCGGAUCACCUAGCUGGUCAUUUGAGUCGUAGUCAGGAGAAUGUCUUUUAAAACACGACAGUUGCUACAGUUUGCCACACUUUUCUCUUUUUACGAUCUAAAAAAAGAGAAAAGCACACUCUGACAAUAAAGAGAUUCUCUGCAUCUUUGAGCGCCAUCUUCAGGGUAACACACAGUGACACAAACACAUCUUUUUCUACCAUUUAUGCUGGUAUUUUGGUAGCUUUUAGAUGAAAAAAAUGGUGUUUAAAGUGUGGCUUUUAUGGGAGCUUUCUCAUGCAAAACUAGCCGUGAUCUGUAAUCACCCCCCAAAAAGAAAGAGAUUCAAAAAGCACAGAGUGUUACUGCUAACAUGUCACCAAAAUAUGAAACACGAAAGCCAGUCUUUCGUUUGAAUAGAUCCUGAAAAUAAACAGGCUUUCUAAUUUUUCCCUGGGAGAAAUCUUCUUCAGCAUCUCAGCCUCACUGAGACUCUAAAUGAGCAUUUCCAUACUAAGCAAAACACAGUUUCAUACUGCUAUUUGUUCAGGUUUAUUACAGUAGUUUAUUCAUUUGGAUUUCCAUUUACUGUCCACAACCUAAUGGUUAUAUCUCCCUGGGUCAACAUAAAAUGUAAUUUUGUAGUUUUAUUGAGUGUGCAAAUCAUCGAAACACCAAUAAAAUCAUAUUUUCACCUUAAGAACUCCAUAAACAUUAAUGCUGUUUCUUUAUGCCCUUAGUUUGAAAACUUUAGCGAAGGUUUUGUUUUGUGACAGCUGUACUGCAUUUUACAAAACAUGAGCAGCUGGUAAAAAUCCAAUCUGAAGAAAGGAGAAACAUGAGAAACAUGAGAUUGUUAUAGAGCUACUAGGUCAGGGUCUAUCUUCUCCAAGUAGCCGCUGAAGAAGUGUGAUGUGAGAUGAAACUCAUGAGCACUGCAUCUUGUGUAAUAAUAGUUUUUCUAGAGCCGUAUGACGAGUAUAGAAGGAGUUUCUCCGACAAUCUGAACAGAACAAGCUGCCAACCUGGGAGAGCCACAAUCAUGCAACCAUAGAUACAGUCCAGAUACAGUCAAGCGUAUUCUAUUUUGACCUUUCUUUAAAAUAUGAUAUCACAAACUCUGAAUUGAGAACCUGAAUGAAGGCGUGCUUAAACCACAUCUUUGGAUACCGUCUGGGUUGCAGGUGACAAACCUAAAAGUUUCGGUCAGAAGUCUUUUGUCAUUUUUGUAGAUCACUUAAAAGGCAUCAGAAUAAGUUUCGGUCUGUUUAAAAGCCAGAAAGUGAAUUUAAAUUAUGAAGAUAAUUUGCUGAGAGCCCGUUAUUCGUAUAUAAUGGAUGGUACUAAUUUUUCCCCUUCCAAUUCUGAACCCAAACUGUAAUCUUUCACAAAAGUAGGGUGACCCUACAUCCUCUUUUUCAGAGGGUGUCCGGCUUUGUCAGGGAAAGUUUAUAAAAUCCUUUAAAUGUCCGCAGGUUUUGAACUUAAGUUUUGAGUUUAUGUCAUGUGGACUUACUGAGUUAGAAGCGUGAAAAACUCUCAAAAUUAACCUUGUGCGACUGUGAAUCGUAGUCAUGUAAUCAUGAAGUCAGAAAAUGGUCACCCUACCAAAAGUAUCCAGUAAUUUUGAGUUUUAAACCAUCUUAAUUUACUCUAUUUAUGUUAUUAAAAAAAAAUCCAAGUGACCACUCUACCGUGUCAAAAACUGCACACUUUCUGUUCUUUCUAAACCGGUAAAAUGAUGUUCAAGGACAUGUGAAAACCUAAACACCAUACUUGUUCUCUGUGAUUGAUUUUGAAGUCAGCCAAUCAAUUUUUUUCAAAGCGAGGAGCUCCCAUCAAAGGUUGCAGAAUGAUGAAUUGAGUGAUACUCAUAUAAGCGUCCUCUUUAGCGGACUAAAAAGGGUCUCAUUAACCUUUGUCAGACCACUCCUGAUGUCCUCGGGGAGACAAGGACCUAAGCCUGUUUGCAGAUAAGUGUCGUCAUCUGAUCUUUCACAAAACCUUCCUCUAUCCUUCCUCUUUCCCCCGGCACUUUAGAGAGCGUUUGAUUUUUUUUCUUCCUCCGCUGUGCUUGUGGGAAAGGGCAAUUGGUCCGGCACACCUAGGACGUCGGCUUCAAUCACUUCCAAAUGAGCAAACAUGACAUGACUGACAGAAGCCAACCGUGAUCCCUGAGUCGGAGUUCAGAGGGUGUAAUUAAAACGGAGGAAAAAGAGAGAGAUAGAACAUGGUCUAUUGAUCCGACACGAGCCAUCUUCAGUAUUUUAUGCUUUCAGGAACAAAUACGCUGCCCAAAGAGAUCUCUAAGGGAAUUCAGGGUGGUUGGUGCUCUUCAUAACCUGAGAGACGUGAACCUGUUAUGAGACGGGCUUGUUUAUCUCAAAAGCACAUUUCAGCCUCCAGGGUUGGUGAUCUUCAGUAGGCAAAGGUUACCGGUGAAUAGGAUUCCCAGUAUGGGGCGGCAAAGAUCUAUGAUAGCAAGAGCGCGAAAAAGUAGAAUUUUCUCUAUUCCUGUGAAUCAGCUGUUGAAGAUAACGCCUCUCCGUUCGUCUCGUAAUAGAAACCACUAAAUAAUGCACAGCUGAUUGAGAUAUUUGUCUGGUGAAUACAUUUACAAUCAGACCAUCAAAGAGGAAAAUCAGACAGGCCUUGAAUUAUUCAGAUUUUUAGACUUUUGAAUAAUUAGGCUUUCUUUUUCCAACUCGGACCACUUCAAAGAAGAAAAAUCCAACCAACAUGAACAGCUUGAUUUGAGGGGCUGAGAGGAAGCAGCCCACAGAAAGAGUGUCUGCCUCAGAUGGUGAAACGUUAUGUUUUGAGGAAUUUACACACUUGAUGCAUAAAUACAUCCUGACAUCAUUUUUGUGGCACACUCUAGUCUUGGCAGUGCCAAUCAGGAAUACAUUUUUGAAUGAAUCAUCAGGUUAAAUGAAGCCUGAUUAACACAGAGGCAAGUCAACGGCAAAUCAAUUCAUUCAUAUGAGUCUCUAUGAUAUCUGAUGAGCCUGCAAAACUCCUCCCUUCUCCUGAGUUUGUAGUGUACCUUAAAUAUGUUCCAAAAACGAAAGUUUAGCUGUGUGCUUGCUGGGUUUUCGGGCUGUUAACAGGCUAACAGACUGUUUCCUUCUAUUCAGCUGCCCAUUGGAUUGUCCUGUAAGAUCUGUUGCUCCUUACCCCAAUUUCCACCGCAUCUGGAACAGUUCCCCUUCGUAAAGGCUGCGACCGGAUCUGUUUGUGAGGCGAAUUUCGUGGUGGAUUACGGACAGCUGGAAUCGCAAGAAAUCACAAGAACCCGAGGAUUCAGGGGCAAUCACGCGAUAAUGAGUUUUCUCUAUAAAGACAGCCGCAUAACCAUAUAAGCAGUAGAUUGCGUCCUUCCGGAGGAGGAAAUCCACUUCUAGACUUCUAGAAUCAGCAUCUCCUCAUCCAUGGUGUUAUCAGGGUAAAAUGCUGUCUAGUAGUAGUCACAUAGUGUUUUAUUUGGAAAAGAACCCGGAUGGUUUCUUUUGUGUCUGUGCCUUACUUCAUUUCCAGCACGGACUGAUCUGUGCUGGAUUAAUGCGGCAUGCUCCGGCGUCUGGAAAAAACAGAACUCUUACGAACAGC